RNAcentral lists this long non-coding RNA (5219 nucleotides) under Marmota monax (woodchuck). Lineage: Eukaryota; Metazoa; Chordata; Mammalia; Rodentia; Sciuridae. The record is from RNAcentral.
CUUAAUAGCUGCUACUCUGGAGUGAGAUGGAAUCUUAGAGUAGUUUUGAUUUUCAUUCUCUAAUUGCUAGAAAGAUGUUGAACAUUUUUUCAUAUAUUUGUUGAUUGAUUAUAUAUCAUCUGAGAAGUGUCUGUUCAAUUUCUUGGGCCAUUUAUUGAUUGGGUCAUUUGUUUUUUUGGUGUUAAGGUUUUUGAGUUCUUUAUAUAUCCUAGAGAUUAGUGUUCUCUCUGUGUGGUAAAAAUUUGCUCUCAUUCUGUAGGCUCUCUAUUCACCUCACUAAUUGUUUCUUUUGCUGAAAAGAAGCUUUUUAGUUUGAAUCCAUUCCAUUUAUUGAUUCUUGAUUUUUAUUUCUUACUCUAUAGGAGUCUUAUUAAGGAAGUUGGGGCCUAAUCCAACAUGUUAAAGAUUUGGGCCUACUUUUUCUUCUAUUAGGCUCAGGGUUUCUGGUUUAAUUCCUAGGUCCUUGAUCCACUUUGAGUUGAGUUUUGUACAUGGUGAAAGAUAGGGGCUUAAUUUAAUUUUGUUACAUAUGGAUUUCCAAUUUUCCCAGCACCAUUUGUUGAAGAGGCUAUCCUUUCUCCAAUAUGUUUUUGAUGCCUUUCUCUAAUAUGAGAUAACUAUAUUUAUGUGGCUUUCUCUCUGUGUCCUCUACUCUGUACCAUUGGUCUACAAGUCUAUUUUGGCACCAAUAUGAUGCCGUGUUUGUUACUGUUGCUCUGUAAUAUAGUUUAAGAUCUGGUAUAGUGAUGCCUCCUGCUUCACUUUUCUUGCUAAGGAUUGCUUUAGCUAUUUUGGGUCUCUUAUUUUUCCAGAUGAAUCUUAUGAUUGCUUUUUCAACUUCUAUGAGGAAUGUCUUUGGGAUUUUGAUUGGAAUUGCAUUAAAUAUGUAUAAUGCUUUUGGUAAUAUGAUCAUUUUGACAAUAUUAAUUCUGCCUAUCCAAGAACAAGGGAGAUCUUUGUUUCAGAGGAUUUGUCACUGAUGUACAGAAAUGCUUUAUGAUUUAUGGGUGUUGAUUUUAUAUCCUGCUACUUUGCUGAAUUCAUUUAUUCUAGAAGUUUCCUGGUGGAAUAUUUCGGAUCUUCUAGCUAUAGAAUCAUAUUGUUGGCAAAUAGUGAUAAUUUGAGUUUUUCUUUUCCUAUUUCAUAUCCCUUUAAUUUCUUUCAUCUGUCUAAUUGCUCUGGCUAGAGUUUCAAGAACAAUGGUAAAUAGCAAUGGUAAAAGAGGAUAUCCCUGUCUUGUUCCAGUUUUUAGAGGGAAUGCUUUCAGUUUCUCUCCGUUUAGAAUGAUGGUGGCCUGGGGCUUAGCAAAAUAGCUUUUUCAAUGUUGAGGUAUGUUCCUAUUAUCCCUUGUUUUUUUAGUGUUUUGGACAUAAAGAAGUGCUGUAUUUUGUCAUAUGCUUUUUCUGCAUCUAUUGAGAUGAUCAUAUUAUUCUUAUCCUUAAGUUAUAAUUACAUUUAUUGAUUUCUGUAUGUUGAACCAACCUUGCAUCCCUGGGAGGAAACCUACUUGAUCAUGGUGCAUUAUCUUUUUGAUGUUUUUGUAUUCGAUUUGCCAGAAUUAUUAUUGAGAAUAUUUGCACCUAUGUUCAUUAGUCUGAAGUUUUCUUUCUUUGAUGUGUCUUUGUCUGGUUUUGGAAUCAGGGUGAUAUUGGCCUCAUAGAAUAAGUUUGGAAAUGUUCCCUCUUUUUCUAUUUCAUGAAAUAAGUUGAGGAGUAUUGGUAUUAGUUCUUCUUUGAAGGUCUUAUAGAACUCAGCUGUGUAUCCAUCUGGUCCUGGGCUUUUUUUUAUUGGUAGGCUUCUGAUGGUGCCUUCUAUUUCACUGCUUGAAAUUGAUCUGUUUAACUUGUAUAUAUCAUCCUGAUUCAGUUUGGGCAAAUCAUCUGACUCCAGAAAUUUGUUGAUGCCUUUGACAUUUUCUAUUUUAUUGGAGUACAAAUUUUCAAAAUAAUUUCUAAUUAUUUUCUUUAUUUCUGUAGUGUCUGUCAUAAUAUUUUAUUUUUCAUUACAGAUGUUAGUAAUUUGAGUUUUCUCUCUCCUUCUCUUUGUUAGCAUGGCUAAUGCUUUAUCAAUUUUAUUUAUUUUUUUCAAGAACCAACUUUUUGUUUUGUCAAUUUUUUCAGUGGUUUCUUUUGUUUCAAUUUUAUUGAUUUAGCUUUGAUUUUAAUAUUUUCUGUCUUUUACUGCUUUUGGGAUUGAUUUGUUCUUCUUUUUCUAGGGCAUUUAUUUGUGGACUUUUUCUUCUUUGAAGGAAUGAACUCCAUGCAAUAAACUUUCCUCUUAGUAUUGUUCAUAGAUUUUGAUCAGUGUUCUCAUUUACCUCUAAGAAUUUUUAAAUUUCUGUUUUUUAAUUUCCUGUUUGAUGUCUUUUGCAACCCAUUGUUCAUUGAGUAGCAUAUUAUUUAGUCUCCAGGUACUGGAGUAGCUUCUAUUUUUUAUUAUUACUGAUUUCUAAUUUCAUUCCAUUAUGAUCUGAUAGAAUGCAUGGUAGUAUCUCUAUUUUUUUUGUAUUUGCUAAGAUUUGCUUUUUGGCAUAAUGUAUGGUCUAUUUUAGAGAAGGAUCCAUGUGCUGCUGAAAAGAAAGUCUAUUCACUUGUUAAUGGAUGAAAUAUUCAGUAUAUGUCUGUUAAAUCUAAAUUAUUGAUUGUAUUAUUGAGUUCUAUAGUUUUUUUUUUUUUUAGCUUUUGUUUGGGAGAUUUAUGCAGUGGUGAAGGAGGUGUGUUAAAGUUAUCUUUGUGUUGUGGUCUGUUUGACUCUUGAACUUGAGAAGAGUUUGUUUGAUGAAUGUAGAUAUGCCAUUGUUUGGGGCAUAUAUAUUUAUAAUUGUUAUGUCUUGUGGAGACCCCUGCUUGUUUCCACAGUCCAUGUUAGUGAUACGUUUUUUCCCCAACCUUUCACCUUUAGUCUGUGGAUGUCUUUUCCUAUGAGAUGAAUCUCUUGAAGGCAGCAUAUUAUUGGGUCUUUUUAAAAAAUUCAAUCUGCCAGUCUAUAUCUUUGGAUUGGUGAGUUUAGGCCAUAAACAUUCAGGGUUAUUAUUGAGACAUGAUUUGUAUUCCCAGUCGUAUUUGUUUAUUUUUGGUAUUUAAUGUCUUAGUUUCUCCUUUGAUUAGUAUUUCCUUUAGUGUAAUUCUUCCCUUUGCUGAUUUUCAUUGUUGUUUUUCUUUUUUUUUGUUUCCUCUUCAUGGAAUAUUUUGCUAAGAAUGUUCUAUAAUGCAAGCAUUCUAGUUGUAAAUUCCUUUAACUUUUGUUAAUCAUGGAAGGUUUUUAUUUCAUCAUCAACUCUAAAGCUUAAUUUUGCUGGAUAUAAGAUUCUUGGUUGGUGUCCAUUUUCUUUCAGAGCUUGGUAUGUGUUGAUCCAGGAUCUUCUAGCUUUCAGGGUCUGGGUUGAAAAAUCUCCAGAUAGCCUAAUUGGUUUCCCCCUAUAUGUAAUCUGAUUCCUUUCUCUUGUGGCUUUUAAAAUUCUCUCCUUAUUUUGUAUGCUAGACAUUUUCAUUAUAAUGUGCCUUGGUGUGGAUCUGUUGUGAUUUUGUACACAUGGUGUACUAUAAGCCUCUUGUAUGUGAUUUUCCAAGUCAUUCUUCAUGUUUGGAAAAAUUUCUAAUAUUAUUUCAUUGAAUAGAUUGUUCAUUCCUUUGGUUUGGAGCUUUAUGCGUUCCUCUAUUCCAAUAAUUCUUAAAUUUGGUCUUUUUUUUUGUUAUCCCAUUAUUGUUGAAUGUGUUGCUCAUGGUUUCUUACCAUCUUUACUGUGUGGUCAACAUUCUUUUCAGUAUUAUAUAUUUUAUCUUCACUAUCUGAGGUCCUGUCUUCCAAGUGAUCUAAUAUGUUGGUGAUGCUUUCUAUUGAGCUUUUAAUUUUGUUUAUUGUUUCUUUCAUUUCAAGUAUUUGUUUUUUUUUCAGAACCUCUUUCUCCUUAUUGAAGUAAUCUUUUGCUUCCUGUAUUUGCUUAUGUAGCUCUUUAUUGAAAUGAUCUUUUGUUACCUGUGUUUGCUCUCUUAUAUCAUCCUUUAAUCCACAGAACAUUUUAAUUAUGUACAUCCUGAAGUCCUUCUCUGUCAUUUCUUCUGUUGUGCUGGCCAUUGAUUCUAGUAAUGUUAUAUCUUGGUUUGUUGGGAGACUUUCUUUCCUUGUUUCUUCAUGUUGUUUGUGUGUCUUCCCUUCUAGCACUGCAGAUCUGGGGCAUUACAGUUUUUACCCUAUAGGCUUAUAGUGUCCCUGCAGGUUUUCAAUACCUCUCCUUUAAGGCGGGGACAAUGUGAAUAGACCCCAACCUAAACAAUAUACAACCUUAAACCAAAUAGCUGCUAUUAAAACGUUUGUGGUUUUUUCACAAUAUACAGUAAUGGUAAGUUAAAUUAUUAUCUACAUUAUAAACAGUAGGUUUGCAAAAGGGUCUACAGUCUGAUGGUGGACAGAUAACCUGGGUGAGGUGUAGAAUGAGAUGUUGAGGGGGUAAGAGGUGAGGAUAUAGUUUUUAUAUCUUAGUGUGAAAGAGGUAUCUAAAGAAGUUGGUUAGUAGCAAGAGAGAGAGAGUGAUUUGGGGGAGACAAGUAAGUGGGAAGACAGAGUAUAACAAACACAAAUAUUAAGAAAAGUAAAACAUGUAAAAAUAGAAGAUAAUAGUAUAUUAUAGCGGUGGUGUAUAUUUUCAGACCUCCCUGUCCUCAGUAGCCUAAUUCAUAAAAAGUACUUGGUUUCACAAAUGUUGGGGAUGUGAGAGUGGGAGAAGAGAGAGAGGGGAAAAAAAAAUCUCGAAGGGAGAUAUAAGGAUUGUUUUUGUUGGAGAUAAGUAUCUUUCCAGCUUCUCUUCUCAUCCAAUAGGUGGGGUUGUUUGUUGUUUGAUGGUAUCUCUACCCUCAAGAUGGUGAAGGUUGUUAGAGUGGGAGGGUUGGUCUUGGGGGUGUGGCUCCUGGAGGUAGGGUAUAGUACUUGCUGGACCCCAUGGGAGAUUGCACCCCAAGAAUCUCCUUUGGGGCCCACUUGUGUGAUAUGGGUGCCUGAUUUUAUCUUACAUCACCUGUAAACCUUGCAAUUCCUGGCUUCUAAUUUAGUCUCACCCCCUUCCUUUCUACUUCCUAAUCAUGAACCUCUAUCUUCAGAGGUCUUAUGGGUUGUGCUCUGGGGGCCUUGCACCUGUCAUGGAGAGCUGUUUUAUAUUGAACCCAGUUUUGUGAGCUACAGACUGGCUGUGUAGCCACAGGCACUGUGCCAGGUUAGCAACUGCU